AGCAAUACAAGGUAAGACGCUCUGAGUUAACAGUGCGCAGCUCUGCUGCGCCACCAUCCGCGGAAACAAAAAUUACAAUGCAGAACCUUAAUGCGCCAUCAAAACCAUUCAAGCUUUCCGCUGGAUAUCCGUGUGCGACUCCACUGUGCCUCUAUCCCAGAGUAAGGACAUCGGUUUAGUCACUGAAGUGUAGCCACAAAUAUGUGUAGUUCCCGAGGACUAGGAUGACAAAUAGUUGUGCAGGUAUUGGCUGGGUAAGGGCAUACGCCCAGGUCCCAGCCAGGCUGCUGGAAACCCUCCAUGGUUCAUCAUUGUGCGACGACCACAAUGCGCCUAUCCACAGGGUAAUGGCAAGCCUAUAUGCCAGCGUCUCCAGGGUAAAAAGAUCGGCCAAGCUUCCAGUCGGCUGGCAAGCUGCAGGGUUCUGGGCUCGCAGUUUCCUCAGCGCCGCCCACGCACGAGCUGCACCAACACAGACGUCUGAAUUUUUUUCUGCGUCGCCUUCUGCCCAUUUCUCAGCCACAUCGGUGUGAGAGACCAUAAGCAGAAGGCUCCCAACUCCACGGUCCGUCCCGCAGGUCUUCUACACAACCAUCUUCAGGGUGCAGGGCUCGGAUCUUCCCGGAGAACCGGAUCCAUUCCGAGAGCCGCAGCAGCGUGCAGAUACAAAGUGCGGGCACUUGGAUGGGCUACUACAUACCGACUACCACUAACACGACCGGAUGGGAUAAGGACGGUCACCGGGUCCUCCUUGGUCGUGGACACAGAGCCUGGGUAAAGGUUUCCAUUCAGCUUCCAGUCUGUUUGCAAGCUGCAGGAUUCUGGGCUUGCAUUUUCCUCAGCGCCACCCACGCAUGAACUGCACCAACAGAGACAUCUGGGUAUUUUCUGCGUCGUCGUUUGCCUAUUCCUCGACCACAUCUGUGUGAGAGGUCACAAGCGAAAGACUUCUGACUCCACGGUCCGUGCCGCAGUGAUUCUACACAACCAUCUUCAGGAUAUAGAGCGCGGAUCUUCCCGGAGAACCGGAUCGCCCCCGAUCCGAUACGGAUACAAAGCGCGGAGACUUGGAUGGGCUACCACACACAGCCUAACGAUAGGAUGGGAUGAGGACAGCCACCGGGCCUUCCACGGUCGUAGACACGGAGCCACAAUAAAGGUGUCCGCUCAGUUCUCAGCCGUGCCGCAGUCUGCAGAGUUAAGAGACGUCUGCCGAGAUCUGGUGUGGAGGCAGAAAUGACGCAGUCUGCAAAGCGAGCCUGCCCAGACUUCAGUGCGCAGGCGCGACAAUGCGGCAAUCUGCAAGGUAGAGACACGUUCUGUGGCGCCAUCUAUCGCGUAAGAAGGACGGUCCAGGUCUUCCAUGCGUGGGCACAGAGGCCCCAGUCCACACGGUGAAGCCACACAGGUAAUUAGCGUGGCUCCACUGUGGCAGUCAUCUUCAGGGUAUCGAUGAGUUGGGCUUCCCUGAGUCGGCAGGGGAAAAAGUCAACGCAAAAGCUCGGAACGCCAUUGCUGUGACAGCCCGGCAAUCAGCCGAUCUCAGUGCACAGGCGCGGCAAUGCGGCAAUGCGGCAGAGUGCGCAGUAACUGUGUUCUGUGAUGCCACCUAGCGGGUAAGAAUGACGGCCCGCAUACUCGGUACAGAGCGCAGAGGGGGCAAUGAGACCAAGGUGCCCCCUUUGGUGAUCGGCCCGUGGCCCCAGUGGGGCAGCAUCUACCUGGGUUAUCCAUGCGGUCAUACAGGGUGGUGAUGUCCCGCUGGGUCCUCAGGGUGACAGUGUCCACGUAGUAAGACUACGACACAAAUGAGUGUCCCACUGGGUCUGUGGGGUGAGGGUGUCCACAUAGGUACUUGGUACCAGCAAAAAAUGCUCAAUGGAAGGAACGUAGCCGGAUCCACUGCGGAGCACGGGAGAAUCUGGCACUACCACACGGGGCCUUCCCAGAGCUCUCCCUUCUCAGCCCCACCUGUGGAAGAUUUGGGCUUCCUCGCUGGUUUGCAGACUUCGGGACGCUAGGGACUGUGCUUUUAAAGUGGUAGACUCUUCAAACAAGGGCAAAAAGCAGUUACAUUCUUCACCAAACUGUCACAGGAACGAUUUCUGAAACCUCUUGAGCCAGUUCCCCACAGUUCAAAUAACUCUUUGGACCACUGUC
Molecule: long non-coding RNA, 2160 nt
Organism: Mesocricetus auratus (golden hamster)
Lineage: Eukaryota; Metazoa; Chordata; Mammalia; Rodentia; Cricetidae
Exons: 2
Source: RefSeq, a predicted model, not a curated record